CCUACGGGGGGCAGCAGUGAGGAAUAUUGGUCAAUGGGCGCGAGCCUGAACCAGCCAAGUAGCGUGAAGGAUGACUGCCCUACGGGUUGUAAACUUCUUGUAUAAAGGAAUAAAGUGAGGCACGUGUGCCGUUUUGUAUGUACGUUAUGAAUAAGGAUCGGCUAACUCCGUGCCAGUAGCCGCGGUAAUACGGAGGAGCCGAGCGUUCUCCGGAUUUAUUGGGUUUACAGGGAGCGUAGAUGGGUUGUUAAGUCAGUUGUGAAAGUUUGCGGCUCCACCGUAAAAUUGCAUUUGAUACGGGCAGUCUUGAGUACAGUUGCGGUCGGCGGACUUCGUGGUGUAGCGGU
Molecule: ribosomal RNA, 347 nt
Filed under: uncultured bacterium
Lineage: Bacteria
Description: partial 16S ribosomal RNA
Rfam family: Bacterial small subunit ribosomal RNA
Source: RNAcentral